Molecule: ribosomal RNA, 465 nt
Filed under: uncultured bacterium
Lineage: Bacteria
Description: bacterial SSU rRNA
Rfam family: Bacterial small subunit ribosomal RNA
Source: RNAcentral
GGGCCCGCACAAGCGGAGGAACAUGUGGUUUAAUUCGAUGAUACGCGAGGAACCUUACCCGGGCUUGAAUUGCAGACGAAUGCGAUAGAGAUAUCAAAGUCCUUCGGGACGUCUGUGAAGGUGCUGCAUGGUUGUCGUCAGCUCGUGCCGUGAGGUGUCGGCUUAAGUGCCAUAACGAGCGCAACCCCUCUCCUUAGUUGCCAUCAGGCUAUGCUGGGCACUCUGGGGACACUGCCACCGCAAGGUGUGAGGAAGGUGGGGAUGACGUCAAAUCAGCACGGCCCUUACGUCCGGGGCUACACACGUGUUACAAUGGCCGGUACAGCGAGUAGGGUGCGCGCAAGCUCACCCCAAUCACGAAAGCCGGUCCCAGUUCGGACUGGGGUCUGCAACCCGACCCCACGAAGCUGGAUUCGCUAGUAAUCGCGCAUCAGCCAUGGCGCGGUGAAUACGUUCCCGGGCCUU